RNAcentral lists this ribosomal RNA (530 nucleotides) under Amblyodipsas polylepis. RNAcentral describes it as "partial 16S ribosomal RNA". It matches the Rfam family "Bacterial large subunit ribosomal RNA", at positions 1795 to 2621 of the family's 2925-position model. The record is from RNAcentral. Lineage: Eukaryota; Metazoa; Chordata; Lepidosauria; Squamata; Lamprophiidae.
UCCGACUGUUUUAACAAAAACAUAACCUUUAGCCAAACAAGUAUUAAAGGCAACGCCUGCCCAGUGAACAAUUAAACGGCCGCGGUACCCUAACCGUGCAAAGGUAGCGUAAUCACUUGUCUAUUAAUUGUAGACCCGUAUGAAAGGCAAAAUGAGGGCCUAACUGUCUCUUAUAAUAAAUCAAUUAAACUGAUCUCCCAGUACAAAAGCUGGAAUACCAACAUAAGACCAGAAGACCCUGUGAAGCUUAAACUAAACUAUUAAAACACAUAAUAACUACUUUCGGUUGGGGCGACCUUGGAAAAAAAAAGAACUUCCAAAGGCCAACAAGCCAAACAAUAGACCCAGCAAAGCUGAUAAUUGAACCAAGUUACUCCAGGGAUAACAGCGCUAUCUUCCUCAAGAGCCCAUAUCAAAAGGAAGGUUUACGACCUCGAUGUUGGAUCAGGACAUCCUAAUGGUGCAGCCGCUAUUAAGGGUUCGUUUGUUCAACGAUUAACAGUCCYACGUGAUCUGAGUUCAGACCGGAG